UACGAGGGGGGCGAGCGUUGUUCGGAAUUAUUGGGCGUAAAGGGUGCGUAGGCGGUUCCGCAAGUCCUGUGUGAAAUCUUCGGGCUCAACUCGAAGUCUGCACGGGAAACUGCGGGGCUUGAGUGCAGAAGAGGAAAGUGGAAUUCCAUGUGUAGCGGUGAAAUGCGUAGAGAUAUGGAGGAACACCAGUGGCGAAGGCGACUCACUGGCCCGAUACUGACGCUGAGGCGCGAAAGCGUGGGGAGCAAACAGG
RNAcentral lists this ribosomal RNA (253 nucleotides) under uncultured bacterium. Its description in RNAcentral is "partial 16S ribosomal RNA". It matches the Rfam family "Bacterial small subunit ribosomal RNA", at positions 524 to 776 of the family's 1533-position model. The record is from RNAcentral.